Non-coding RNA from Prunus mume (Japanese apricot), 1503 nucleotides. The record is from RefSeq and is a predicted model, not a curated record. NCBI's taxonomy places the organism in Eukaryota, Viridiplantae, Streptophyta, Magnoliopsida, Rosales, Rosaceae.
AUCAAAUUGAACCAGUGAGCAACAUUACUUAUGGUGUUCAAAAUCGAGCUACAGGUGAAAGUAAUUCAGAGGUUAAUAAUAAUUCAACCAAUGAUUUCAAGGAACCAGUUAGCAUCAUCACUUGUAACUUUAAUAAUGGUGCUCCAAAUGAAAGGAUUUCAAAGGCUUGUUCUCAGCCAAAAGAAAAUCUGGGAUCAUGUUUUGAUCCAUUUCAGCUACAGGAUUUCACGCUGCUGUCACCAAUGAACUUGGAACUGGGAGAUUUUGAGCAUGGCAAUAAACUUUAUUGGCAUGCAAUGAGUUGUAACCUCUGAUCUGGAGGUUAUGACUCUUUUCCCUCAAAGUUCUUAUAUACAAUUAUUGUUGAUCAGGAAUAUUAUCCUGCGAAGAUACACCAAACACUAUUUUCAGUGACCCUAAUCUACCGGAGUCAUGGGGAAGAUUCUAUGAUAGCACUAGUGAAGUAAGAAGAAGUGAGAAAAAAAAAACACCGAGUUAAUGUAUGGAUGGGUAGUAUGUUUAAUCUGCAUUAGCGGUACAAGAGAAACCUCAACAUAGCUAGUGAACCACAAUAUUUUACUUUUAGGAGAACAUCAAUAGGGGCCUUGUAUACCCCAAGAGGUAACAUGACCCUUGUCUACAUUUUUGGAACUGGAGGCUUUGGAAACUUAUUCAUAGUUGUGGACACAUAGACAUCUAUGUCCAGGACAAACGAAUCAGGUUAACUAAGUCUGUUCUUGGUCUUUUGGGCCAUUGCUGUGUGUGACAGCAUUCCCAACUUUUGGAAACUUGAAGCUUGUAAGGUGAACUUGUUGGUCACCGAAAAUUGGCAACGUUUGAAAUGCCAUCUGGAACUCUAUUCUCCUCCGGCGAGUCCAGACGAAAUAAUUUGGAGACCAUGUCUCUCUCCUGUCAACAGAACUACAAAUAUUCGCCAAAUCAAUUGUCUUCAAAUAGUGUACUCUCUUAAUCAAAGGUCACACCAUCCCUCUGUUCAUGUUCAUACAUGGGAGGUGCUGUGAGAAGAAUCCAACUGCAAAGCUGUAUCACAAGACAAGGUUAGAGAAGCUGCAGAGUAUUGCAUUGCUCUCCAUCUGAAAACCGAGUCUUGGAAGCAUACGGUUUGAAGCAAACAUCAACAGGGUUCUUUCAAGUUUGGAAGCAUCUCCUCAAAACCAUUAAUCAAGUCCCCAGUGGGACGUGGUAUAAUAUCUCGGUACGAAGUUCUAGCUCAAGCCUUAGGCUUUCGUUCUGCUCUCUAUUGUUCUGGAAGUGGUAUUAUACAGGAUCUGCAGCUGCAUGGCUGCUGGAAUCUCAAUAUAUGUUACAACUUACAAUAACCAGACACUAGUGUGAUGUCUGUGGUUAUUGGUAUGGAAGUUUCGAGGUUCCGUCCUUAAUGGAGUAGUAGUUACAAUCAUAGUAAAACUGUAUGAUUAUGAUUGGUUUAAAACACCCAAGAAUCGUGUUCUUGUAAAUGUUGUUGAUUUUGUUUUUUUGUAA